This 248-nucleotide ribosomal RNA is filed under the name uncultured bacterium. RNAcentral's name for it is "partial 16S ribosomal RNA". It matches the Rfam family "Bacterial small subunit ribosomal RNA", at positions 524 to 771 of the family's 1533-position model. The record is from RNAcentral.
UACGUAGGGUGCGAGCGUUAAUCGGAAUUACUGGGCGUAAAGCGUGCGCAGGCGGUUUUGUAAGCCAGAUGUGAAAUCCCCGGGCUUAACCUGGGAAUGGCAUUUGGGACUGCAAGGCUGGAGUUUGGCAGAGGAGACUGGAAUUCCUGGUGUAGCAGUGAAAUGCGUAGAUAUCAGGAGGAACACCGAUGGCGAAGGCAGGUCUCUGGGCUGAAACUGACGCUCAUGCACGAAAGCGUGGGGAGCAA